UACGAAGGGGGCUAGCGUUGUUCGGAAUUACUGGGCGUAAAGCGCACGUAGGCGGAUAUUUAAGUCAGGUGUGAAAUCUCGGGGCUCAACCCCGAAACUGCACUUGAUACUGCCUUGCUAGAGUACUGGAGAGGAGAUUGGAAUUUACGGUGUAGCAGUGAAAUGCGUAGAUAUCGUAAGGAAGACCAGUGGCGAAGGCGAAUCUCUGGACAGUUACUGACACUGAGGCACGAAGGCCAGGGGAGCAAACGGG
Molecule: ribosomal RNA, 253 nt
Filed under: uncultured bacterium
Lineage: Bacteria
Description: partial 16S ribosomal RNA
Rfam family: Bacterial small subunit ribosomal RNA
Source: RNAcentral